UCUGUAUCACUCGAGCAGCAAAAAUACGAGCAACGCUCAAAAAUGUCUUCGGCAAAUGCCUCUGAUUCCUUUUCCACUGCCAUUACCCCUGUAUUGAGUUACGACGUUUUCUUGAGUUUCAGAGGUGAAGACACCCGUAAAGGUUUCAUCGACCACCUCUCUACAACCUUACACGAAAAAGGUAUCCACACUUUCAAAGACGACACCGAACUCAAGAGAGGGAGUUCCAUUUCCCCAAUACUCGAAAAAGCCAUUGAAAGUUCUGAAGUCGCACUCGUUGUCUUCUCGAAAAACUAUGCCGACUCGUCUUGGUGUUUAGAUGAGAUUGUUAAGAUCGUUGAAUGUAACAAGAAAUUUGGCCAAAAGAUUUAUCCUGUAUUCUACAAUGUGGAUCCUUCUGAUGUUAGGAAGCAAAAAGGGAGUUACAAAAUAGCUUUUGACAAAUAUGAAAACGAUCCUAACGUGGAGAAGGAGAAAAUUAAGAGCUGGAGGAAUGCUUUGAAGGAAGCUGCUAGUGUUUCUGGAUGGGAUACCAAUCAUACUGCUGAUGGGUAAAUUUCCUACACUUUACUCUCCUUUAUUAUGUUUGCUGAUUUGCUUUUAAGUGUGAUAAUUCGUACGCAAAGUGUGGUA
This 633-nucleotide long non-coding RNA is filed under the name Olea europaea subsp. europaea. Lineage: Eukaryota; Viridiplantae; Streptophyta; Magnoliopsida; Lamiales; Oleaceae. The record is from RNAcentral.